AUGGCCAGAGCGAGGAGCUCCGGUCUCCCUUCCCUGUUCCUGUUCUUCUGCUUCUACUUCUGUUCCACUUCCUCAAUCUAUGCCAAUUCCGCUGUCUCGCUGCCCUUCGACUUCUCGCACCCCACUGCAAUCCUCAUCUUCCCCGAGCAUGCAUCCAUCACUGCGACUGCGAGUGCGAGACCUGGCAGAAGCAGAGCGCACAGCACCGCCCGGGGGUCGUACGCGAAAAGAGUGCAGCCAUGGGAAAGCCCCACGGGCAAAAUGGUAAGCUUCGCCACCAAUUUCUCCUUUCAAAUUAUUGCGGGCCUGCACAGCCACAGCUCGUCAUGUACCGGCGAUGCGACGCCCUUCUCUUUCACUCCGACGAUGCCCCAUGGCCACGGGCAGUACCUCGGCUUCCUCCUGUCCCAGAAUUCCACCACAGACUGGUACUGGUACACGGGCCAGCGCCUUGCCUGCUUCAGCCCGGAGACUGAGGAUCGCAGUAGCAAGCUCAUCGCCAUCGGCAUGAGAUCUACGGAGGGCACGGGGACGAGUUUUUCGCCGAGCAAGAACCUACCGUCUGCUUUUCUGCCCCGUGUUUCCUACCUUGCUCCUCACGCUGCUGAAUUAUCCUUCAAUUGCAGCGGAUCCUAUCACCACCGUGAUAAGUUCCUUGGGAUUAACACCACCGAAUUAUGCGAUCCUGUCUUUUUUGUGUUCUUACAAGAACAACAAAAAUCAUUUGCUUUCUCUGCUGGUUCAUUGGGAGGUGUGGGAUUUCACAACCUCACAGGUUGCAGAAUCACACGAGGAGCUUCCUUUUACUUAUUAGAUAUGCGUAGCAAGAGGCCGCGGCAGAGCACUGCUAGGUCUAACCAACUGGAAGACGUCGAGCACGUGAUAAGAGAACCUGAGCUAAGGCGAGCAUUGGGACCUAGGGAGUUCAGGUACAGCGAGCUCGCCGCUGCGACGGACAACUUCGCAGAGGAGAGGAAGAUUGGGAGAGGGGGAUUCGGCCCGGUGUACAGAGGCUACUUGACUGGCCAAAACCGUCAUGUGGCCAUCAAGAUGCUCUCAGAGGAUCAAUCUGUGCAGGGUCUGAAGGAGUUUCAGGCAGAGGUCACCGUAAUGAGCCAGCUGAGGCACCGCAACAUCGUCCACCUCGUCGGCUGGUGUGGUCGCCGGAGAGAACUGGCGCUUGCCUACGAGCUCAUGCCCGGAGGCAGCCUCGACACGCACCUCUACAAUCCUGACCGGACGAUAACUUAG
RNAcentral lists this ribosomal RNA (1251 nucleotides) under Triticum aestivum (bread wheat). RNAcentral's name for it is "partial small subunit ribosomal RNA". Lineage: Eukaryota; Viridiplantae; Streptophyta; Magnoliopsida; Poales; Poaceae. The record is from RNAcentral.